AUUGAACGCUGGCGGCAUGCCUAACACAUGCAAGUCGAGCGGAUGAAGGGAGCUUUCUCCUGUUUUCUUCUUCGGACGGGUGUGUAAUUCCUAUGUAUCUCCCUGCUUUUUUUUUAUAACGUCCUUUAACGGGCGCUAAUACCGCAUACGUCCUUAUUUUGAAAUUUUUUGUUCUUCUGACCUCUCGCUAUCUUAUUUGCCUAGGUCGGAUUAGCUAGUUGGUUGGGUAAAGGCCUACAUAGGCGACGAUCCGUAACUGGUCUGAGAGGAUGAUCAGUCACACUGGAAGUGAGACACGGUCCAGAGUACUACGGGAGGCAGCAGUGGGGAAUAGUGGACAAUGGGCGAAAGCAUGAUACAGCAAUGCCGCGUGUGUGAAGAAGGUCUUCGGAUUGUGAAGCACGUUAAGUUGGGAGGAAGGGAAGUAAGUUAAUACAUUGAUGUUUUGACGUUACCAAAAGAAUAAGCAACGGCUAACUUCGUG
This 484-nucleotide ribosomal RNA is filed under the name uncultured bacterium. RNAcentral describes it as "partial 16S ribosomal RNA". It matches the Rfam family "Bacterial small subunit ribosomal RNA", at positions 30 to 507 of the family's 1533-position model. The record is from RNAcentral.